Molecule: ribosomal RNA, 505 nt
Filed under: uncultured bacterium
Lineage: Bacteria
Description: bacterial SSU rRNA
Rfam family: Bacterial small subunit ribosomal RNA
Source: RNAcentral
UGGGGAAUCUUGCGCAAUGGGCGAAAGCCUGACGCAGCGACGCCGCGUGGGGGAUGAAGCUUCUCGGAGUGUAAACCCCUUUCGACCCGGACGAAACGCCCGCAAGGGCUUGACGGUACGGGUAUAAGAAGCCCCGGCUAACUACGUGCCAGCAGCCGCGGUAAGACGUAGGGGGCCAGCGUUGCUCGGAAUUACUGGGCGUAAAGGGUUCGUAGGCGGUGCGGUAAGUCGGAAGUGAAAUCUCUGGGCUUAACUCAGAGGCUGCUUUCGAAACUGCCGUGCUAGAGUGCGGGAGAGGCGAGUGGAAUUACAGGUGUAGCGGUGAAAUGCGUAGAUAUCUGUAGGAACACCCGUGGCGAAGGCGGCUCGCUGGACCGCAACUGACGCUGAGGAACGAAAGCUAGGGGAGCAAACAGGAUUAGAUACCCUGGUAGUCCUAGCCCUAAACCAUCAGGACUUGGGGUGGCCCGCGUUGGCGGGUCGUCCCGGAGCUAACGCGUUAAGU